RNAcentral lists this ribosomal RNA (470 nucleotides) under uncultured bacterium. RNAcentral's name for it is "bacterial SSU rRNA". It matches the Rfam family "Bacterial small subunit ribosomal RNA", at positions 55 to 518 of the family's 1533-position model. The record is from RNAcentral.
AUGCAAGUCGAGGGGCAGCACGGGAGUAGCAAUACAACUGGUGGCGACCGGCGCACGGGUGAGUAACGCGUAUGCAACCUACCUAUCAGAGGGGAAUAACCCGGCGAAAGUCGGACUAAUACCGCAUAAAACAGGGGCACCGCAUGGUGAUAUUUGUUAAAGAGAUUCGCUGAUAGAUGGGCAUGCGUUCCAUUAGGUAGUUGGUGAGGUAACGGCUCACCAAGCCGACGAUGGAUAGGGAACUGAGAGGUUGGUCCCCCACACUGGUACUGAGACACGGACCAGACUCCUACGGGAGGCAGCAGUGAGGAAUAUUGGUCAAUGGGCGGGAGCCUGAACCAGCCAAGUCGCGUGAAGGAAGAAGGAUCUAUGGUUCGUAAACUUCUUUGCAGGGGAAUAAAGUGCAGGACGUGUCCUGUUUUGUAUGUACCCUGAGAAUAAGGAUCGGCUAACUCCGUGCCAGCCGCCGC